GUGCCAGCCGCCGCGGUAAUACCGGCAGCCCGAGUGAUGGCCGAUAUUAUUGGGCCUAAAGCGUUCGUAGCCGGCCAGUCAAGUCUGUUGGGAAAUCCACGCGCUCAACGCGUGGGCGUCCAGCGGAAACUGUCUGGCUUGGGGCCGGAGGACUCGAGGGGUACGGCCGGGGUAGGAGUGAAAUCCUGUAAUCCUGGACGGACCGCCGGUGGCGAAAGCGCCUCGGGAAGACGGACCCGACAGUGAGGGACGAAAGCUCGGGGAGCAAACAGGAUUAGAUACCCGAGUAGUCC
This 293-nucleotide ribosomal RNA is filed under the name uncultured bacterium. RNAcentral describes it as "partial 16S ribosomal RNA". It matches the Rfam family "Archaeal small subunit ribosomal RNA", at positions 455 to 747 of the family's 1478-position model. The record is from RNAcentral.